RNAcentral lists this unclassified non-coding RNA (336 nucleotides) under soil metagenome. RNAcentral describes it as "partial contains 5.8S ribosomal RNA, internal transcribed spacer 2, and large subunit ribosomal RNA". The stretch from base 1 to 120 matches the Rfam family "5.8S ribosomal RNA", at positions 35 to 154 of the family's 154-position model. The record is from RNAcentral.
GAUGAAGAACGCAGCGAAAUGCGAUAAGUAAUGUGAAUUGCAGAAUUCAGUGAAUCAUCGAAUCUUUGAACGCACAUUACGCCCGCUAGUAUUCUGGCGGGCAUGCCUGUCCGAGCGUCAUUUCAACCCAUCAAGCUUAGCGCUUGUGUUGGAGCCCUGCGGCCGCCGCAGCCUCCUAAAAUCAGUGGCGGGCUCGCUAUCACGCUGAGUGCAGUAGUAUUCUUCUCACUCCUGUGGUGUAGCGGGUAACCAGCCGUAAACCCCCCCAUCUAUAAAGGUUGACCUCGGAUCAGGUAGGAAUACCCGCUGAACUUAAGCAUAUCAAUAAGCGGAGGA